RNAcentral lists this unclassified non-coding RNA (364 nucleotides) under uncultured bacterium. Its description in RNAcentral is "contains 16S-23S intergenic spacer region". The record is from RNAcentral.
UCUCCCGUGAGGGAGCAGUCUCGCCUGACUAAAAUUAACAGGCAACGGGGGUUGCGUUCGUUACCCCACUGAAGGGAACAGUUCAAACCACGAACUGACGACGACCAUGCAUCACCUGUCCAGCACCCUCGAAGGCUUCCCUCUUUUCAGAAGGCGUGCAGCUGGAUUUCUAACCUUGGUAAGGUUCUUCGCUUGCCGACGAAUUGAGCCACAUUAUCCACCGCUUGUGCGAGUCCCCGUCUAUUCCUUUGAGUUUUAAGCUUGCGCUCGUACUACCCAGGCGGCUCGCUUACCGCGUUAGCUUAGUCUCGCAGAGGGUCGAUACUCCGCGAAACGAGCGAGCAGCGUUUAGGGCCAGGACUAC